This 236-nucleotide long non-coding RNA is filed under the name Trifolium pratense (red clover). Its description in RNAcentral is "long non-coding RNA (TPRA_LNC001944)". The record is from RNAcentral. Lineage: Eukaryota; Viridiplantae; Streptophyta; Magnoliopsida; Fabales; Fabaceae.
AGCGGGAUGGAAUGGAGCAUAAAAUGUAUUCCAUUGUUUGGACAUUUUGUAUUCCAUCCCAUACACCCCAAAUUGGAGGGGAAGAAAAAUAAGAGAAAAUGAUGGAAUGUGAUGGAAUCCAUACCAUCACAUACCACUCCAUUCCAUUCAUUUUUAAAGAAUCCAAACAAUGGAACUUCACUUCAUACCACCACAUACCACUCCAUUCCAUCUCAUACCACCAAUCCAAACAAAGC